CACUCUAAAAACGGCUGGGCUAUUUUUUAACCCAAAAUGCUGGGCUGAGUCUGUUGGGUCAUUUUGUUGGGUUAUUUUAUUUCUUUUUAAACACUUUUGGGUAGUUUCAAUUUACCAGGUGUUGGGUUAAACCUGCUGGGUUGCGUCGCUGGGUUGUUUGAAGCCAGCGCUGGGUUAUUUAACGCGCCUUGAAGCUGUUUAAAUCGCUCCCCAACUGUCACUUUGGAAGAACAACGGGGCAAAGCCACGACUUUCAACUGUUUUAAGAAAAGCACAUGGAUACAUUUGUGAGAGACAAACUCGUCGAGUGCAGUCUUAUUGAGGCGUCUAAAGGUUGGAACAAACAUGGAAUUGCUUAACCGAGCAGAGUCCACAAAACCCCACCCAAUUGUCGUGGCGAUUUAAAAAUGCCAGCAGAUCUCUCAGGCAUUGAUCAUAAUCAAUGGACAGGUAAGGAUAUUCUGGACAAUUUUCAAAAGGAAAUGCAGAUUGUAUAUUUAAUUGCAUUUUUCUACAUGUGGACGCAUAUAUUGUGACAUAGUCCAAAUGCAAUUGAAAAGCAUUUGAAUUUCAGAUGCCUUGCACAUAAAGAUGUCAAUUUGUGUCAAGGGUGGGACUAUACUAUGGGGCGUGUUUGUAUUGGGAGAUAUUUUGUAGUUUUUACCCCAAAUCUCUCACUGUUUGCACUCUGAUGCACGUCAGCAAAACAACAUUGCAGUUCUACUCUUAUUUACCUAUUUGCAUCUUACCCUAUAUUUUAUUCCUCAGGUGAAAAGCAUUUGGUUAAUGGUGAAUAUUGACUAAUAGUACCAUGGGGCUCUAACUGUUAGCAGGGGAUAGUAGCUGCAUUUGGAGUAAAAAUGACAGAAUUAUUUAUGGUGUAAGGUGCCAAGAAUAUAGGGAGAUCUGGGUUGCACUGUCUGUUCUUUAACAUGCAUCUCUCGGAGUGGCAGCUUCCUUUAGUAGUGCCUUAACCUCCAUUGUUCAAAGCAUUUGGCAAAAUUGUCUUUGAGUGACAUCACCUCCCAAUACAAACACUCUCCAUAGUAUGGUCCCACCUCUAACAAAAAUUUGACCGCUUUCAAUGUGAGGCAUUGGAAAUUCAGAUGCUAAAGUAAUUGCAAUUCCAUUUGAGUUUUGGCAGGU
Carassius carassius (crucian carp) is the source of this 1146-nucleotide long non-coding RNA. RefSeq lists it as uncharacterized. NCBI's taxonomy places the organism in Eukaryota, Metazoa, Chordata, Actinopteri, Cypriniformes, Cyprinidae. The transcript is spliced from 3 exons. The record is from RefSeq and is a predicted model, not a curated record.